UACGAAGGGAGCUAGCGUUGUUCGGAAUCACUGGGCGUAAAGCGCACGUAGGCGGCUUUGCCAGUCAGGGGUGAAAUCCCGGGGCUCAACCUCGGAACUGCCUUUGAUACAGCAAGUCUUGAGUUCGAGAGAGGUGGGUGGAAUUCCUAGUGUAGAGGUGAAAUUCGUAGAUAUUAGGAAGAACACCGGUGGCGAAGGCGGCCCACUGGCUCGACACUGACGCUGAGGUGCGAAAGCGUGGGGAGCAAACAGG
Molecule: ribosomal RNA, 253 nt
Filed under: uncultured bacterium
Lineage: Bacteria
Description: partial 16S ribosomal RNA
Rfam family: Bacterial small subunit ribosomal RNA
Source: RNAcentral